AGUGAACGCUGGCGGUAGGCCUAACACAUGCAAGUCGAACGGCAGCACAGUAAGAGCUUGCUCUUACGGGUGGCGAGUGGCGGACGGGUGAGGCAUACAUCGGAAUCUACUUUUUCGUGGGGGAUAACGUAGGGAAACUUACGCUAAUACCGCAUACGACCUACGGGUGAAAGCAGGGGAUCUUCGGACCUUGCGCGAUUGAAUGAGCCGAUGUCGGAUUAGCUAGUUGGCGGGGUAAAGGCCCACCAAGGCGACGAUCCGUAGCUGGUCUGAGAGGAUGAUCAGCCACACGGGAACUGAGACACGGUCCAGACUCCUACGGGGGGCAGCAGUGGGGAAUAUUGGACAAUGGGCGCAAGCCUGGUCCAGCCAUACCGCGUGGGUGAAGAAGGCCUUCGGGUUGUAAAGCCCUUUUGUUGGGAAAGAAAAGCAGCAGGUUAAUACCCCGCUGUUCUGACGGUACCCAAAGAAUAAGCACCGGCUAACUUCGUG
RNAcentral lists this ribosomal RNA (492 nucleotides) under uncultured bacterium. Its description in RNAcentral is "partial 16S ribosomal RNA". It matches the Rfam family "Bacterial small subunit ribosomal RNA", at positions 29 to 507 of the family's 1533-position model. The record is from RNAcentral.